This is a long non-coding RNA of Oryza sativa Japonica Group (Japanese rice), 3208 nucleotides long. RefSeq lists it as uncharacterized. Lineage: Eukaryota; Viridiplantae; Streptophyta; Magnoliopsida; Poales; Poaceae. The record is from RefSeq and is a predicted model, not a curated record.
AAUUACAUAAAAUAUCAUAAUUAAUAGAUACAUUUGCCUUCUUCGGACUCAAUCUGUGCUUAGCAAUCCUCAUGAAGCAUAUCAAUCCGAUCCGACAAUGACUCCAGUGCUAUCCUGUCAGAAUCGGCUUCAUCGGCUACCUUGUCCGAUUCGAACCCUGCUGACACACACCUUAGCCGAUUCGGACCCCAGCUGAUGCGCGCUCUGUUUCCGCGUUUAACCGAAUCCCUUCAAAUCCGCUUCGGUUUGUUAUCUCUAUCUCCGAUUCAUGAUUUACCAAAUUUGGUCGUUAACACCUCUCCCCUCCGAGUAGGACUUUGUUUGUCCUUUGUCUCAUGAAGAUAUUUUCCAUAACAUCUGGUGAAUUUCCUUAGAGCAUAUGGAAACAGCCAGUAUACACAAAGAUAUAUCCUAUUCUUGUAUUUCCAUAAGUUCAAGGAUAGAAGGUAUGCCUUAUCUGUAACCAUAACAGUAGCCCCCGACUUUAGCUUAAAUGAACUCAUGUUGUCAUCCACGACUUCACUUGCUAGCACUUUGUCAAACUCGGUUGGUCGAUCCCGGUGUAAGACCGUAGAGACACGGAGCUAGCGACAACGCUAAACGGAGUUCAAUGGUCCAUGAGUGAAUUUAAAUUGAAGUCUAAACUACCGCCCACAACGGACCUCAGAAAUUUUCGGCGGCAAUGUCUCUCCUUUCCUUGAAAUGUGAACCAUCUGGUAGUGCGCUUAUAUAAGGGGAUUUUGAGAUUCAUUUCAGGUCCGUUUGCCAAAAAAAGUCUUUUCAACUCUCGACCCUUCCGUCUCAAGAAACCCUAACUUCCUUUGUCUCCCUCCAGCGAUCCCUCAUCGGCGAUGGAUCUUGGCAAAUCAUCCUCCGAUGAAGCUACAUUGAAGAAGCUUCGUGCGGAUGGGGCCCUUCCCAGCCAGGAGACCAUGGAGCAGGAGGAAGGAGGUAUUAAACCUGCUCCUGCUUUACGCCGUAUGGUAGUAGUAGAGGACUUUGUCUGCUGCGGGUUUUUGCCUCCACCUUCUAAAUUCCUUUUGGUCAUCUUGAAUUUUUAUGGUCUCUCCUUGCAUCUCAACCCCAAUUCUAUCGCCUUUCUGAACAUUUUUUUUUCAUCUCCGUGAGGCCUACAUUGGGGUAGUGCCCUUCCUUGACCUCUUCCGUUAUUAUUAUAAACUCCGGUGGAUGGAAUCCAAUAGAAUCUCUGGAUGCUGUGGAUUCCACCUCCGUGAUGGCAUGAAAGCCAAAUACAUUCCUUUCCAGUGUCCUUCUUCUCGGAGCGGUUGGAGGUCAAAGUGGUUCUAUCUUGAACUAGAAGAGCUUGACCCGGUUCUCAUCGUCCUCGAGAACAAGCCAGAUCGUUCCAAGAACUGGACUUCGAAACAUCUCUUGACCCCUUCUCUAAAAUCCUUUGUCGAUAUUGGUCUACGAGUACGAGGGUUGACUGGUUAUGAAACUUCAAAUACUUUGUCAUGUAUCUGGUGGGCUGCAUGGGCUGCAGGAGGAAUGGGCUUGGCCCAGCUCACAUACUGAAGGAGCAAGCAACCAAGCAGUACAAAUACCAACAGUGGCAGUGAGAGAAGAGAACGAUGAAUUAGAACCUGAUGGCUACGGCCUCUUCUUCCUCCUCUUGAUUUCUCCUCGAAUCCCUACUCUGUGUUUCUCUGAUACCCUUUACCCUUGCUUCUCUUCCCAAUCUCUGCUGCUAGUUCUUCCAAUUUGUAUCCCUGAACUUGAUAUACAGAGUUGGAGUGGAUAUAUUGCUCUUGUGCUUGUGUUCAUCAGUGGGAUUCAUGUGGGAUCGUGACACAACACUCCACCUAAUCAUCUCUAUUCUCUAUCUCUUCCCCUUCUUCCCCAGAUGCGGCUAGCACGGGCGCUGGCACACCACUGAGCGAGAGCGGAGGCGGAAUCGACGGAGGCAUGGCAGAAGCCGAAUCGACGGAGGCCGACGAACAGGGGCGGGGCGGAGAGGGAGGAGACAGGGAGGCCGGUGACUUAUUGUACUCCUCCUCUUUACCGUCGCUCUCUUCUCUCUCCACCGGCAAGCGCAACAAGACGGGGAGGGCGGAGAGGGAUGUGAGGGGGGAGGGCAAGGGGGGCAUCUCCUCCCUUCUUUGCAUCUGCUGUCUUCGCGCCACAGUCGUCAUAGAAAGAAGCAGCGGUGAUGGAGUAAAGGGGAUGGAAACCGGGGAGCUGGACCGCGGCAGAGGAGGCGAAGCGGAUAGGAUUGGACGGGGAGGGCGGUGAGUCUCCAUGGUUUCCUGCGACGUCAACGGCCACAUCCUCUUCACGUGGCGGCGACAGAGCGGAGCAGGGGCGUAACUGGGCCUAGGGCAACUUGGGCCCAGGCCCUACUCGUGAAAAAAAAUUUUAGUACCUAUACCUUGUAAUUUUUCCAUACAUUCUUAGCCCAGCCCCACUCGUAUGCAGGCCGGCCCUACACUCGGCCUUCCAAAAAAGGCCCACGAAAUAGCAAAAUGCCAAAGCCCAUUAGCCCACUAAGCAGUGAAAACCCUAGCCACUGAAGGCCCUAGGUCUCUCUCUCUCUCUCUCUCCAACUCUUCCUCACUCCCUGCAAGGCGCGAGGCGGCGUGCGGCGGCGGGGGCGCGGCUGCGCGAGGCGCGAGGCGGCGGCGGCAGCGGCCGGCGAGGCGGCGUGCAGCGGCGGCGGCGAAUGGCGUGCGGGCGUGCGGCGUCGCGUCGGCUAGUCGGCUUGCCGCUUGCGGUCGUGCGGGACAGUGGGAGUGGAACUGUGAAAGAUGAAGAGAAGUAGGACAAUAAAAUUAUUCAUUCAAGUUCAGUCCUCAAAUGAAUCCACCCCGGCAACUCAAGAAACAGAAGAAACCAAUGACUCCAUCCCAAUGCCUAAUUCAGCAGAAACCAUGGCUAGUAACAAUGAGCAAGAUCGUAUUGUGCUUGAACCAAAUGUGGUUGUUGUUGAUCCCGGGCUUCGCACACCAAUCGAACACUCUUGUAUUUUUUUUGUCCAACCUGUAUUAUACUUUGCUGCACAUUUGUCAAGUUUUAGCCUUUAUUUUGGGCCCUACGCGUCCGAAGAUCCUAGUUCCGCCACUGGAGCGGAGGGGAUGGAAACGGGAGUGAUCAACCGCAGCAAAGGCGUCAGAAGGGAUGGGACGGGGCAACGAUGAUUCUCCGUGGCUUCUUGCUAUUAGAAGUAUAUAAUCUUGUUGUUUUAAUUUCA